This is a non-coding RNA of Callorhinchus milii (elephant shark), 76 nucleotides long. The record is from the annotation of a RefSeq genome assembly. NCBI's taxonomy places the organism in Eukaryota, Metazoa, Chordata, Chondrichthyes, Chimaeriformes, Callorhinchidae.
UCAGUCCUGUAGCUCAGUGGUUAGAGCGCUCGCUUUACAAGCGAGAGGACCUGGGUUAGAUUCCCGGCCGGGUGAA